UGGGGAAUAUUGCACAAUGGGCGCAAGCCUGAUGCAGCCAUGCCGCGUGUAUGAAGAAGGCCUUCGGGUUGUAAAGUACUUUCAGCGGGGAGGAAGGUGUUGAGGUUAAUAACCUCAGCAAUUGACGUUACCCGCAGAAGAAGCACCGGCUAACUCCGUGCCAGCAGCCGCGGUAAUACGGAGGGUGCAAGCGUUAAUCGGAAUUACUGGGCGUAAAGCGCACGCAGGCGGUCUGUCAAGUCGGAUGUGGAAUCCCCGGGCUCAACCUGGGAACUGCAUUCGAAACUGGCAGGCUAGAGUCUUGUAGAGGGGGGUAGAAUUCCAGGUGUAGCGGUGAAAUGCGUAGAGAUCUGGAGGAAUACCGGUGGCGAAGGCGGCCCCCUGGACAAAGACUGACGCUCAGGUGCGAAAGCGUGGGGAGCAAACA
This 427-nucleotide ribosomal RNA is filed under the name uncultured bacterium. RNAcentral's name for it is "partial 16S ribosomal RNA". It matches the Rfam family "Bacterial small subunit ribosomal RNA", at positions 355 to 774 of the family's 1533-position model. The record is from RNAcentral.